GCUCAGAUUGAACGCUGGCGGCAGGCCUAACACAUGCAAGUCGGACGGUAGCACAGAGAGCUUGCUCUCGGGUGACGAGUGGCGGACGGGUGAGUAAUGUCUGGGGAUCUGCCCGAUAGAGGGGGAUAACCACUGGAAACGGUGGCUAAUACCGCAUAACGUCGCAAGACCAAAGAGGGGGACCUUCGGGCCUCUCACUAUCGGAUGAACCCAGAUGGGAUUAGCUAGUAGGCGGGGUAAUGGCCCACCUAGGCGACGAUCCCUAGCUGGUCUGAGAGGAUGACCAGCCACACUGGAACUGAGACACGGUCCAGACUCCUACGGGAGGCAGCAGUGGGGAAUAUUGCACAAUGGGCGCAAGCCUGAUGCAGCCAUGCCGCGUGUAUGAAGAAGGCCUUCGGGUUGUAAAGUACUUUCAGCGGGGAGGAAGGCGAUGGGGUUAAUAACCCUGUCGAUUGACGUUACCCGCAGAAGAAGCACCGGCUAACUCCGUGCCAGCAG
RNAcentral lists this ribosomal RNA (501 nucleotides) under Pantoea sp. Its description in RNAcentral is "bacterial SSU rRNA". It matches the Rfam family "Bacterial small subunit ribosomal RNA", at positions 22 to 514 of the family's 1533-position model. Lineage: Bacteria; Pseudomonadati; Pseudomonadota; Gammaproteobacteria; Enterobacterales; Erwiniaceae. The record is from RNAcentral.